Molecule: ribosomal RNA, 505 nt
Filed under: uncultured bacterium
Lineage: Bacteria
Description: partial 16S ribosomal RNA
Rfam family: Bacterial small subunit ribosomal RNA
Source: RNAcentral
GACGAACGCUGGCGGCGUGCCUAAUACAUGCAAGUAGAACGCACAGUUUAUACCGUAGCUUGCUACACCAUAGACUGUGAGUUGCGAACGGGUGAGUAACGCGUAGGUAACCUGCCUGGUAGCGGGGGAUAACUAUUGGAAACGAUAGCUAAUACCGCAUAAUAUUAAUUAUUGCAUGAUAAUUAAUUGAAAGUUGCAAUUGCACCACUACCAGAUGGACCUGCGUUGUAUUAGCUAGUAGGUGAGGUAACGGCUCACCUAGGCGACGAUACAUAGCCGACCUGAGAGGGUGAUCGGCCACACUGGGACUGAGACACGGCCCAGACUCCUACGGGAGGCAGCAGUAGGGAAUCUUCGGCAAUGGACGAAAGUCUGACCGAGCAACGCCGCGUGAGUGAAGAAGGUUUUCGGAUCGGAAAGCUCUGUUGUAAGAGAAGAACGGGUGUGAGAGUGGAAAGUUCACACUGUGACGGUAUCUUACCAGAAAGGGACGGCUAACUACGUG